RNAcentral lists this ribosomal RNA (163 nucleotides) under Weberbauera rosulans. Its description in RNAcentral is "5.8S ribosomal RNA". It matches the Rfam family "5.8S ribosomal RNA". From Rfam's summary of the family: 5.8S ribosomal RNA (5.8S rRNA) is a component of the large subunit of the eukaryotic ribosome. It is transcribed by RNA polymerase I as part of the 45S precursor that also contains 18S and 28S rRNA. The record is from RNAcentral. Lineage: Eukaryota; Viridiplantae; Streptophyta; Magnoliopsida; Brassicales; Brassicaceae. RNAcentral also lists the same sequence under 1 other name.
AACGACUCUCGGCAACGGAUAUCUCGGCUCUCGCAUCGAUGAAGAACGUAGCGAAAUGCGAUACUUGGUGUGAAUUGCAGAAUCCCGUGAACCAUCGAGUCUUUGAACGCAAGUUGCGCCCCAAGCCUUCUGGCUGAGGGCACGUCUGCCUGGGUGUCACAAA